This 245-nucleotide ribosomal RNA is filed under the name uncultured bacterium. RNAcentral's name for it is "partial 16S ribosomal RNA". It matches the Rfam family "Bacterial small subunit ribosomal RNA", at positions 528 to 772 of the family's 1533-position model. The record is from RNAcentral.
UAGGGGGCAAGCGUUAUCCGGAUUUACUGGGUGUAAAGGGAGCGUAGACGGCGCUGCAAGCCUGGAGUGAAAGGCAGGGGCUCAACCCCUGGACUGCUUUGGGAACUGGGGUGCUAGAGUGUCGGAGAGGCAAGUGGAAUUCCUAGUGUAGCGGUGAAAUGCGUAGAUAUUAGGAGGAACACCAGUGGCGAAGGCGGCUUGCUGGACGAUGACUGACGUUGAGGCUCGAAAGCGUGGGGAGCAAA